CCACUUGUGUCUGUGCCCACUAGGGUCU
This 28-nucleotide non-coding RNA is filed under the name Homo sapiens (human). Lineage: Eukaryota; Metazoa; Chordata; Mammalia; Primates; Hominidae. The record is from RNAcentral.